Talpa occidentalis (Iberian mole) is the source of this 424-nucleotide long non-coding RNA. RefSeq lists it as uncharacterized. NCBI's taxonomy places the organism in Eukaryota, Metazoa, Chordata, Mammalia, Eulipotyphla, Talpidae. The record is from RefSeq and is a predicted model, not a curated record. The transcript is spliced from 3 exons.
GUCAUGCUGGGGGCCCGUGAUCACCGAGGAGAGGGGCUUUCAAUUCCCGAGAUUUACUUGCUCUUCCUCAGCGUGGAAAAUCCAUAACCGGUGGACGUAAAAUGAAGAAAAAUAAGGAAAAGAGACCCACCGACAGACACCAUCUAAAAUUGCCUUUUAUGUUCUGAAGAUAAAAUGAUGCAGGCCACAUUGGAGGUCGGAGCUGACAACGCUGAUCGGGUGGAGCAGCCUCCUUGGUACACAGAGAUUAGCACGAGCCACUGCUGAGUGCUUCUGUUGGAGAAUUUCAAGUUUCUUCCAGAACCCCUCCAUCACACAGGUUGCGUUUUUCACCACACCACUGCGUCUAAAGACAUGAAAUGAAAGUAUUCAUCUAUAAGGACAAAGAAAGGCAGAGGACCAACAGCAAGUGAGAGAUGGCAAU